This is a long non-coding RNA of Pseudopipra pipra, 602 nucleotides long. RefSeq lists it as uncharacterized. The record is from RefSeq and is a predicted model, not a curated record. The transcript is spliced from 3 exons. Lineage: Eukaryota; Metazoa; Chordata; Aves; Passeriformes; Pipridae.
GCUGCUGCUUCAUCCUGAGGGUCACCUUCUCCACCCCUUGGGACUCCUCUCACCCAAGAUAAGGAGCACACAGCCCUCCAGGCUCAAAACAAGCCAGACAUUUCUCCUGUGGAGUUGUUUUAAUGCCACGAGAGAUCAUUACACAUUGCAAAUUCAACCAUUUGCAGACAAAAUGAGCACGGAGCAGCCUGGGAACUGUCACACCACCCCUGUUGCCUUGCCACAUUGUGAUGCCUUACAACCUUUAAGCUGAAAAUUAACAUAUAAAACCAAGGGACCUGGAAAUAUUUGUUGGGCGAAUGCAGAAAACCAAGCAGAGCAGAGUUAAACUUUCAUGAAAGCUGAAUUAAGUUGGAGAAGAGCCAGCUCCAGGGACAGACAGCAGUGUGAUGGAGUAAGAGCAAGGAAGACCCAGACAACUGGUGUUCCUGCUAAUUCCCCUUCCCUGCAUCCCACACUGCCAAUUUUUAGGGAGCUUAAAUUGCUCCAUCCCACCAUGGCAGAGCAUCCAGCCUGGCACAGGCACUAAGCAGCUCUUUCACCAUUUCUCACCAAAAGGCACCGCUACUUCAGAAAAAAAUAAAGUUUAUUCCAUGGUCUAA